UACAGAGGUCCCAAGCGUUGUUCGGAUUCACUGGGCGUAAAGGGUGCGUAGGUGGCUUGGUAAGUUUGAUGUGAAAUCUCCGGGUUUAACCCGGAAAUGGCAUUGAAUACUAUUGAGCUGGAGGUUUGGAGGGGGGACUGGAAUUCUCGGUGUAGCAGUGAAAUGCGUAGAUAUCGAGAGGAACACCAGUGGCGAAGGCGAGUCCCUGGACAACACCUGACACUGAGGCACGAAAGCUAGGGGAGCAAACAGG
RNAcentral lists this ribosomal RNA (253 nucleotides) under uncultured bacterium. RNAcentral describes it as "partial 16S ribosomal RNA". It matches the Rfam family "Bacterial small subunit ribosomal RNA", at positions 524 to 776 of the family's 1533-position model. The record is from RNAcentral.